RNAcentral lists this ribosomal RNA (374 nucleotides) under uncultured organism. RNAcentral's name for it is "partial 16S ribosomal RNA". It matches the Rfam family "Bacterial small subunit ribosomal RNA", at positions 527 to 896 of the family's 1533-position model. The record is from RNAcentral.
GGGGGGUGUGAGCGUUAUUCGGAAUUAUUGGGCGUAAAGAGCGCGUAGGCGGUUUUUUAAGUCAGAUGUGAAAGCCCGAGGCUUAACCUCGGAAGUGCAUUUGAAACUAAAAGACUUGAGUAUGGGAGAGGGAAGUGGAAUUCCUGGUGAAGAGGUGAAAUUCGUAGAUAUCAGGAGGAACACCGGUGGCGAAGGCGACUUCCUGGACCAAUACUGACGCUGAGGCGCGAAGGCGUGGGGAGCAAACAGGAUUAGAUACCCUGGGUAGUCCACGCAGUAAACGGUGAACACUAGGUGUAGCGGGUAUUGACCCCCCUGCUGUGCCGAAGCUAACGCAUUAAGUGUUCCGCCUGGGGAGUACGACCGCAAGGUUA